RNAcentral lists this ribosomal RNA (253 nucleotides) under uncultured bacterium. RNAcentral describes it as "partial 16S ribosomal RNA". It matches the Rfam family "Bacterial small subunit ribosomal RNA", at positions 524 to 776 of the family's 1533-position model. The record is from RNAcentral.
UACGGAGGGAGCUAGCGUUGUUCGGAAUUACUGGGCGUAAAGCGCACGUAGGCGGCUUUGUAAGUUAGAGGUGAAAGCCCGGGGCUCAACUCCGGAACUGCCUUUAAGACUGCAUCGCUUGAAUCCAGGAGAGGUGAGUGGAAUUCCGAGUGUAGAGGUGAAAUUCGUAGAUAUUCGGAAGAACACCAGUGGCGAAGGCGGCUCACUGGACUGGUAUUGACGCUGAGGCGCGAAAGCCAGGGGAGCAAACGGG